GUUUGUUUGUUUAUUUCUAAUGUCCUGAACUCAUUCUUUGAACUGUCAUAUAGAUUAAUGGGUUUCUCAAAUUACUGGAUAACUAAGAAAUAAACAGGCAGAACAGUGGUGCUGAGCAUGACUAAAGCAUCUCUGCAUUCACAGGGAGAGGAACUGAAGACCUUCUGGCAUGGGCUGGGUGGCAGUUCAGUUGCAGGAGAAACAGCUCGAGUGUGGAGAGGUGGCCAUCCUCCACUGGAUGCUUUCUAAGGAGCCCCAGAAAUCAACAUAGAGCUUCUUCUAUCUGAUUCUCUCCCAAAUGUAAACCUUCCAUGAGUCAAGCUUUGUGUCAGAAGGACAAAUUGAAAGGCAAGAAAAUAAGAUCACCAGGACUUUUGGUGAGAAAAAAAAAAAAAACUAAUUCCAGAUUAUUUCAGGAAACCCCACAUUUUGCCCAAAUCUCUAUUGUGUUGAGGACAAUGUUUAAAAGUUGCUCCUGUACUCAGAGUAGUAUGAUUAGGAAAAUCAACAAUGUAAUUUUUUUGAACGGAAAUAGGUUUUCAAGGUUUAUUCUUCAAUUGUGAAAAGGUUUUCUAAAGUCAAACUAUUCCUGUCCAUGAUCCCAGUUAAUCCAGAUCCUCCUCAGUGAGGUUUAUCAAAUUACUCACCUUCCUGAAUCUCUUAUAAAGUUUUGUUACAGAACCUGAGAUUUUUCAUAAGGUCUUGUGUACCAUGUCAUGCCUGUGAAUUGCUUUUUUUGCUAUAUUUUUAUUUUUUUGUAAGAAGUAGCCAGCAAGUAUCUUUCUUUGCUUUAGACAUAUAAACUGCUUUGAAUUUUUCAGAUUAACUUGCAAGAAUGUGGAAAAUGCUUUGCACACUGUUCUUUACUGGCUUCCUGCCUCUCAGGACCUGUAAAAGGUACCCCUCAGCCCAAUGGACAGAUGCCCCAGGCUGCACAUUCUGUCAGUGCUGUUCUCCAAGAGGCCCAGACACGUACUGAAACAUGGAAGGUGAGGCCAGCAAGCAGCUGACACACAUUCCACCCAGCCGGCCCCCAUAAGCCCAUGUUCUAAACCAUUCACAUUGUUCCAAUAACUGCGCUUUU
Long non-coding RNA from Sapajus apella (tufted capuchin), 1084 nucleotides. RefSeq lists it as uncharacterized. The record is from RefSeq and is a predicted model, not a curated record. NCBI's taxonomy places the organism in Eukaryota, Metazoa, Chordata, Mammalia, Primates, Cebidae. The transcript has 2 exons.